GUCUAUGGCCAUACCACCCUGAAUGCACCUGAUCUCUGAUGUCAGAGGCUAAGCAGGGUUAGGUCUGGCUAGUACUUGGAUAGGAGAAAUGGAAUGUGCUGAAGCUUUUCAAAGAAAGCCUGAAAGAACUGGACU
This 135-nucleotide ribosomal RNA is filed under the name Castor canadensis (American beaver). The record is from RNAcentral. Lineage: Eukaryota; Metazoa; Chordata; Mammalia; Rodentia; Castoridae.